This 77-nucleotide signal recognition particle RNA is filed under the name Paracoccaceae bacterium. RNAcentral describes it as "partial signal recognition particle sRNA small type". It matches the Rfam family "Bacterial small signal recognition particle RNA", at positions 1 to 77 of the family's 97-position model. From Rfam's summary of the family: The signal recognition particle (SRP) is a universally conserved ribonucleoprotein involved in the co-translational targeting of proteins to membranes. Lineage: Bacteria; Pseudomonadati; Pseudomonadota; Alphaproteobacteria; Rhodobacterales; Paracoccaceae. The record is from RNAcentral.
GAGAGGUUGGCGCGGGCAGGCACCUCGCCAACCCGGUCAGGUCCGGAAGGAAGCAGCCGUAACGAGCCCCGCUUGGG